Molecule: ribosomal RNA, 468 nt
Filed under: uncultured bacterium
Lineage: Bacteria
Description: partial 16S ribosomal RNA
Rfam family: Bacterial small subunit ribosomal RNA
Source: RNAcentral
GACGAACGCUGGCGGCGUGCUUAACACAUGCAAGUCGAACGGAAAGGCCCUGCUUUUGUGGGGUGCUCGAGUGGCGAACGGGUGAGUAACACGUGAGUAACCUGCCCUUGACUUUGGGAUAACUUCAGGAAACUGGGGCUAAUACCGGAUAGGAGCUCCUGCUGCAUGGUGGGGGUUGGAAAGUUUCGGCGGUUGGGGAUGGACUCGCGGCUUAUCAGCUUGUUGGUGGGGUAGUGGCUUACCAAGGCGUCGACGGGUAGCCGGCCUGAGAGGGUGACCGGCCACAUUGGGUCUGAGAUACGGCCCAGACUCCUACGGGAGGCAGCAGUGGGGAAUAUUGCACAAUGGGCGGAAGCCUGAUGCAGCAACGCCGCGUGCGGGAUGACGGCCUUCGGGUUGUAAACCGCUUUCGCCUGUGACGAAGCGUGAGUGACGGUAAUGGGUAAAGAAGCACCGGCUAACUACGUG